Molecule: long non-coding RNA, 406 nt
Filed under: Trifolium pratense (red clover)
Lineage: Eukaryota; Viridiplantae; Streptophyta; Magnoliopsida; Fabales; Fabaceae
Description: long non-coding RNA (TPRA_LNC002081)
Source: RNAcentral
UGUAAACUCAUUUAUAUCAUACACCAACACGAUUGAGAUGUACAUACAGAUGUAUUGAUCAGUUACAACAAAAUCAAGAGCUCAUUCGCAUGCCCUAUGUAUAUAUUGUCAAGGUAUAGUAAUCACUUUGUUUUAAUUAAAUAAUACUAAUCAUAAAUUUAUUUCAUUUUGAUAUACUGUUGAGGUAUUGAUUAAACAUUUUAAGACCCCUUGUGCUACUGAUUGAUGAUUUUUUGUUGUUGUUGUUGUUGUGACAAAUUAAUACAGAUUGAUUAACUCUUGAUAUUGUUAAUUGGAAAUAAUUCUUCAAGCAAAAGUGUUUAAGAAAAAUUGGAUCUCGUGAUUUCAACAUCAACCAGUUUUGGAGAGUUUUGAAGUUGUCCCAAUUCUAAUUUUGGCAAAAGAG